CGAUCGCGGAUACGAGAGAUCGUAUCCUUCAGUUCGGCUGGAUCGGAGACAGGUGCUGCAUGGCUGUCGUCAGCUCGUGUCGUGAGAUGUUGGGUUAAGUCCCGCAACGAGCGCAACCCUCGCCCUUAGUUGCCAGCAUUCAGUUGGGCACUCUAAGGGGACUGCCGGUGAUAAGCCGAGAGGAAGGUGGGGAUGACGUCAAGUCCUCAUGGCCCUUACGGGCUGGGCUACACACGUGCUACAAUGGUGGUGACAGUGGGCAGCGAGACCGCGAGGUCGAGCUAAUCUCCAAAAGCCAUCUCAGUUCGGAUUGCACUCUGCAACUCGAGUGCAUGAAGUUGGAAUCGCUAGUAAUCGCAGAUCAGCAUGC
Molecule: ribosomal RNA, 370 nt
Filed under: Ensifer meliloti
Lineage: Bacteria; Pseudomonadati; Pseudomonadota; Alphaproteobacteria; Hyphomicrobiales; Rhizobiaceae
Description: Sinorhizobium meliloti bacterial SSU rRNA
Rfam family: Bacterial small subunit ribosomal RNA
Source: RNAcentral